GUCCCGUGGUGAGGGCAAGCCAAGAGAUACUCUUGGAAGAGCUCCCAUGCCUUAGGGAUUGACUCAUCCAGCGCUUGUUGGAAGUUGGUAAUCCUUCCGCAAAGGGC
Molecule: small nucleolar RNA, 107 nt
Filed under: Dichanthelium oligosanthes
Lineage: Eukaryota; Viridiplantae; Streptophyta; Magnoliopsida; Poales; Poaceae
Description: Plant small nucleolar RNA R71
Rfam family: Plant small nucleolar RNA R71
About the family: R71 is a member of the C/D box family of snoRNAs containing the C (UGAUGA) and D (CUGA) box motifs.
Source: Rfam by way of RNAcentral